GCAAACUUGGUCAUUUAGAGGAAGUAAAAGUCGUAACAAGGUUUCCGUAGGUGAACCUGCGGAAGGAUCAUUACAAAUCCAUCUACCAUUACAACGUUGUACCCCGUUCGGUGCCAGGCCUAACCGCCUAGCAUCGAACACAUAUAUGACACCAGUUUAUCGUGUUACGUCAUAUGUAUCUCAGCUCUGAGACAUCUCAUUGCUUAUACGAAAACAACUUAUAACAAUGGAUCUCUAGGCUCUUGCAUCGAUGAAGAACGCAGC
RNAcentral lists this unclassified non-coding RNA (264 nucleotides) under uncultured fungus. RNAcentral describes it as "partial contains small subunit ribosomal RNA, internal transcribed spacer 1, and 5.8S ribosomal RNA". The stretch from base 1 to 73 matches the Rfam family "Eukaryotic small subunit ribosomal RNA", at positions 1759 to 1831 of the family's 1831-position model. The record is from RNAcentral. Lineage: Eukaryota; Fungi.